Molecule: ribosomal RNA, 253 nt
Filed under: uncultured bacterium
Lineage: Bacteria
Description: partial 16S ribosomal RNA
Rfam family: Bacterial small subunit ribosomal RNA
Source: RNAcentral
UACGUAGGGCGCAAGCGUUAUCCGGAAUUAUUGGGCGUAAAGAGCUCGUAGGCGGUUUGUCGCGUCUGCUGUGAAAGACCGGGGCUCAACUCCGGUUCUGCAGUGGGUACGGGCAGACUAGAGUGUGGUAGGGGAGACUGGAAUUCCUGGUGUAGCGGUGAAAUGCGCAGAUAUCAGGAGGAACACCGGUGGCGAAGGCGGGUCUCUGGGCCGAUACUGACGCUGAGGAGCGAAAGCGUGGGGAGCGAACAGG